AUUUGGGCAAGCCAAAAAAAAUUACAAAAACUGUAAGAAGAUAGAACCUUAGCGAAUCGAAAAGAGACAAAAAGAAUCAGAACUGCCAAAAAGAAUAGCAAAUAGCAUGAGCAUGUGAGAAUAAUCAUCAUCAAAACUGAUCUGGAGAAAACAAAUGGCUAGAUAGAUCUCUCUCGCUCUCUUCAAAGGGAAAUGUGAAGCACCCAAUAAUGAUGAAGCUGAUUAAACUGUCCACAUACAGCUCCGCAAACAAAACUACUGAGCCUAGAACAGUAAUUUAGAAUAACCAUAGUUUUUGACUACUUUUAAGCGAGAAAAAUGAAUUAGCCAAGCUGUUCAGCUACUUUAAUAUUCCCCAUGUCCCAGACCACCAACACCAAGGCUCAGUCAAUUACUCUGGUUCGGAUUUGUUAUGUAAUAGGCCUAGCCUGCCCAUAAAAUAGAAGAAUAUAUUUUCAUAUAAAUCAUAUGGGCUGGCUUAAUCAAAACACUUGGCAUAGAUUUUCAAACCAGGCUUGGGCAUAGACAGUUAAAUUUCAACCUUAACCCAGUCCACCAAGUCCACCAGAUGAUUGUCUGGUCAACUAAAUAUCAAAUGAGUUUAAAGGAGGCACAACCCUGAACUAUUGUCAUCACAUAUAAACAGUUUUUGUUCAGCUAGAAAGACCAUCUUUAUUUUAGAUAGAUGUUAUCCUUCUAAGCUGCAAAAACUUGAGGCUAUUUUCACCUGAAUCUUCGCCGCUAAAUACGUGUUACCAUCUAAUGCCUUUUAACCAUGAUCAGCGAGAGCUCUUCCUUCCAGUAUUAAAAGGUAAGAUAGAAUAAAAACAUCAAGAGGCCUUUGAAUUAAUAAGGGAGAACCUGUGCAUGUCUACUUUAAUAUUAUCCAAAAGAAUGUUUAAAGGAUUUCCAUUAGACACUUGAAUUUUGUUACAGAAAUACAAUUUUGAUAAAGUGAUGUCCUAACUAGUGCCCCAGUCACCCGGACUUAGCUCGGGUGGUUUGAGGAAGUGGGUGUCUUCGUAGAGAUCUCAUCCUAAAUUCAAAUCUUGUGCUCUCCUCUUGGACUGGAAAUGAAAAAUAUAUCCCAUUACCCCAAAAGAACGUGGUACUAAUUAAAGGUAUAAAUAAGAAGAAAAAAAACAUAGAACUGAGCUUGAGGUGGUUAAGAUGCAUCGGAUCACCAGAAGACAACUAACUAUAUAACUACAUAAUAUGCCUGAAUGGAACGAAACAACAUAAGUAUUCUACAAGCAUAGCAGGAGGAAAAAGGGACUAAACAUCCCUACCUCUUGGCUUUGACACAAGAUGAGGACUCCACAAAUAACCUGUUGGUAAAU
RNAcentral lists this unclassified non-coding RNA (1340 nucleotides) under Hevea brasiliensis (rubber tree). Lineage: Eukaryota; Viridiplantae; Streptophyta; Magnoliopsida; Malpighiales; Euphorbiaceae. The record is from RNAcentral.